Molecule: non-coding RNA, 161 nt
Organism: Capsicum annuum
Lineage: Eukaryota; Viridiplantae; Streptophyta; Magnoliopsida; Solanales; Solanaceae
Source: Rfam
CAACAAAUCCAGACGGGGUCAAUGGGCGAUCAAAAAGGCCCAUGGCCUAGGUUGGUGACUUCCAUUGCACUUUGGAGGGGUGCCCACCUAAGGUUAACCCAAGUGGUUGAGCCUACGGACCACUUUUUGGCAGUGGGGGCUUGUGUUAGCAUGACCCCUAU